UUAUCCCUUCAGACACAUCUGAUAAAAUUGGAACGAUAAAUAGAAAAUUAGCAUGGGCCUUGCACAAACUGACACACAAAUCAAGAAAUGGUCCACUUUUUU
Prosopis cineraria is the source of this 102-nucleotide small nuclear RNA. The record is from RefSeq and is a predicted model, not a curated record. NCBI's taxonomy places the organism in Eukaryota, Viridiplantae, Streptophyta, Magnoliopsida, Fabales, Fabaceae.